This 440-nucleotide ribosomal RNA is filed under the name uncultured bacterium. Its description in RNAcentral is "partial 16S ribosomal RNA". It matches the Rfam family "Bacterial small subunit ribosomal RNA", at positions 338 to 795 of the family's 1533-position model. The record is from RNAcentral.
CCUACGGGAGGCAGCAGUGGGGAAUAUUGCACAAUGGGGGAAACCCUGAUGCAGCGACGCCGCGUGAGUGAGGAAGUAUUUCGGUAUGUAAAGCUCUAUCAGCAGGGAAGAAAAUGACGGUACCUGACUAAGAAGCCCCGGCUAACUACGUGCCAGCAGCCGCGGUAAUACGUAGGGGGCAAGCGUUAUCCGGAUUUACUGGGUGUAAAGGGAGCGUAGACGGGAUAGCAAGUCUGAUGUGAAAACCCGGGGCUCAACUCCGGGAGUGCAUUGGAAACUGUUGAUCUAGAGUGUAGGAGAGGCAAGCGGAAUUCCUAGUGUAGCGGUGAAAUGCGUAGAUAUUAGGAGGAACACCAGUGGCGAAGGCGGCUUACUGGACGAUGACUGACGUUGAGGCUCGAAAGCGUGGGGAGCAAACAGGAUUAGAUACCCCUGUAGUC